UCCUGGCUGGCUCAGUUGGAAGAGCAGGAGACUCAUGAUCUCAGGGUCAUGAGUUCAAGCCCCACGCUGGGUA
This 73-nucleotide transfer RNA is filed under the name Felis catus (domestic cat). It matches the Rfam family "tRNA". From Rfam's summary of the family: Transfer RNA (tRNA) molecules are approximately 80 nucleotides in length. Their secondary structure includes four short double-helical elements and three loops (D, anti-codon, and T loops). RNAcentral also lists the same sequence under 4 other names. Lineage: Eukaryota; Metazoa; Chordata; Mammalia; Carnivora; Felidae. The record is from Rfam by way of RNAcentral.